AGAGUUUGAUCCUGGCUCAGAACGAACGCUGGCGGCAGGCUUAACACAUGCAAAUCGAACGCCCCGCAAGGGGAGUGGCAGACGGGUGAGUAACGCGUGGGAACGUACCUUUCAGUUCGGAAUAACUCAGGGAAACUUGUGCUAAUACCGGAUACGCCCGCAAGGGGAAAGAUUUAUCGCUGAAAGAUCGGCCCGCGUUGGAUUAGCUAGUUGGUGGGGUAAAGGCCUACCAAGGCGACGAUCCAUAGCUGGUCUGAGAGGAUGAUCAGCCACACUGGGACUGAGACACGGCCCAGACUCCUACGGGAGGCAGCAGUGGGGAAUAUUGGACAAUGGGCGAAAGCCUGAUCCAGCCAUGCCGCGUGUGUGAUGAAGGCCUUAGGGUUGUAAAGCACUUUCACCGAUGAAGAUAAUGACGGUAGUCGGAGAAGAAGCCCCGGCUAACUUCGUGCCAGCAGCCGCGGUAAUACGAAGGGGGCUAGCGUUGUUCGGAAUCACUGGGCGUAAAGCGCACGUAGGCGGAUUGUUAAGUGAGGGGUGAAAUCCCGGGGC
This 552-nucleotide ribosomal RNA is filed under the name uncultured bacterium. RNAcentral describes it as "bacterial SSU rRNA". It matches the Rfam family "Bacterial small subunit ribosomal RNA", at positions 8 to 608 of the family's 1533-position model. The record is from RNAcentral.